UAUCAGUUUUCAUUGAUAUUCCAAACAUAAGUAUUCAAGCGAUAUACAUUGAAAAAUGUGUAAAGAUUAAAUUUAUAUAAAAGUUGCAUAUCACUUGCAGACUUUACAUUAAUCAUUUAUACGUCUGAUGUAUUGGAGUAUCAAACUAAAUUCGUUGAAUCAACAAGAUUAUUUACAUGACAUGUUUUAAUAACAAUCCUAGCAUGCCUCGGGUCAUUGCUUUUUCGUUCUAAGUUGUUGUGUCCUUAACAAAAAUCCAUUAUUCCAAUUCAUCUAUUUUAUCGGUUUUCAAAUACUUGAAAUGCAUAUUCUUGACCGGACUCGUGAAUCUUCCGGAAAUAAUUUGUGUAUCGCUAAAUCCUCGAGGAAAUAAUUUUCUAUCGGUUAAUCCU
Molecule: long non-coding RNA, 392 nt
Filed under: Mytilus galloprovincialis (Mediterranean mussel)
Lineage: Eukaryota; Metazoa; Mollusca; Bivalvia; Mytilida; Mytilidae
Source: RNAcentral